CGCAAAAACUGCGGCUUGGAUGCAGACCAAAACAAUGGUCGUGUGCAUGAGGCCUAAGAAGCAAUAACUUGCUGGAUGUUGUGUUCUUGACAGAAGCCAUGGUCUUCUAAAUGCUUCAUCUCUUGGUUCAUCUUCGCUCGGCUUAUGCACAUGACCUCAUCAUGGCCCUGUACAACUUCUUUGUGUGUAGUUAUUAAUGAGCACCUAUAGAAGUCCAUAGGGCCAUACUGUACCUCCAAUCAGCUCAGAUUUCAAAUCAUACAGAAAAAGGUGAAAUGCUGGAGUAUUAUGGAGAUCUUUUACUUCUACUGGAGAACAUCUCCAUGACACUGUGCUGUAUAGAGACUGCUGUGUGCCGCCAUAGAGGAUAUGGGGCAUGUCUUAUAGGAGAGCAACAAAGUGAAGUGACCCCAAGUCACCGGCAACGAGUCAGAUCUUUAGAAUAUUAGAAUAAACACUUUUGCUUUACAAUGACAUGAAUGGAGUUGGGUCACAAGAUAUUACAAAAAAAUUAAAAUAGCAAUUCUCUUAUACAGCAAUAUAGAUGUAUAAUAAAAUACACACACACUUGAGGAAAUCAGCUCUUCAAAACUGACGGGCUAAAUUGAUAGAGUUGCAAAAGCCAAAUGGUUUUAGAGGCAUGGAGACGCAAUAAUUAAACCAUACAAAUCUUUAAUCUUCAAAGUCACUUUGAUUUUUAAAGCUGAAUUAAAUCUUAAAACCGACUUAAAAUUCAGAGUCUGAUCUUAUUAUUAAAGCCCAGAAUAAAUUAUUAUUAUUUUUUUUUUUU
Molecule: long non-coding RNA, 790 nt
Organism: Bufo bufo (common toad)
Lineage: Eukaryota; Metazoa; Chordata; Amphibia; Anura; Bufonidae
Exons: 2
Source: RefSeq, a predicted model, not a curated record